GGCAAGUAGGGAAGCCAAAAUGCCACGGCACUUGAUGAUCAGUAGCAUCUCUCCUAGAAGGCCUACUAUCCUUGAGCGAAUUAAGAGCGUUUGGGCCUAUGUGGUCCGUAUCUUCAGGCUUAUUUUCAGCGAGUAUUGGCCAGAUGACGAUUCAGACGAGGAUUCAAUUGAGAUAGGUAGUCCAAGGAAGGAAGAAAGGG
Prunus avium (sweet cherry) is the source of this 200-nucleotide non-coding RNA. The record is from RefSeq and is a predicted model, not a curated record. Lineage: Eukaryota; Viridiplantae; Streptophyta; Magnoliopsida; Rosales; Rosaceae.